GAUGAACGCUAGCUACAGGCUUAACACAUGCAAGUCGAGGGGCAGCAUAAAUCUAGCAAUAGAUUUGAAGGCGACCGGCGCACGGGUGAGUAACACGUAUCCAACCUACCUAUUACUCGGGUAUAGCCUUUCGAAAGAAAGAUUAAUCCCCGAUACGAUAUUGAGUUCGCAUGAAUUUGAUAUGAAAGAUUUAUUGGUAUUAGAUGGGGAUGCGUUCCAUUAGAUUGUUGGUGAGGUAACGGCUCACCAAGUCUUCGAUGAAUAGGGGUUCUGAGAGGAAGGUCCCCCACACUGGAACUGAGACACGGUCCAGACUCCUACGGGAGGCAGCAGUGAGGAAUAUUGGUCAAUGGGCGAGAGCCUGAACCAGCCAAGUAGCGUGAGGGAUGACUGCCCUAUGGGUUGUAAACCUCUUUUAUAAGGGAAUAAAACGCUCCACGAGUGGAGCUUUGCAUGUACCUUUUGAAUAAGGAUCGGCUAACUCCGUGCCAGCAGCCGCAGUAA
This 504-nucleotide ribosomal RNA is filed under the name uncultured bacterium. RNAcentral's name for it is "partial 16S ribosomal RNA". It matches the Rfam family "Bacterial small subunit ribosomal RNA", at positions 28 to 523 of the family's 1533-position model. The record is from RNAcentral.